RNAcentral lists this transfer RNA (73 nucleotides) under Marmota monax (woodchuck). RNAcentral's name for it is "tRNA.Ala". Lineage: Eukaryota; Metazoa; Chordata; Mammalia; Rodentia; Sciuridae. The record is from RNAcentral.
AUAUAUGGCUCAGUGGUAGAGUGCUUGCCUAGCUCGUGUGAGGCCCUGGGUUCAAUUCUCAGCACCACAUAUA